This is a long non-coding RNA of Piliocolobus tephrosceles (Ugandan red Colobus), 2348 nucleotides long. RefSeq lists it as uncharacterized. The record is from RefSeq and is a predicted model, not a curated record. The transcript has 3 exons. Lineage: Eukaryota; Metazoa; Chordata; Mammalia; Primates; Cercopithecidae.
CUCUGUCCCUUAGACAUACAAAGUCCCUAUACAACCAUAAACUCUGAGAACUGCGUCACACAUGGCGUGGGGCCCCCAAUGGAUCCCCUGAUGUAGUUGGGCAAGGCAACCGUGCACCCUUACAGAUGGAGUAAUGCAUGCGGCAUCUUAAAACUGAGAGGCUGAAGUCAGAGGUGACAGAGGAAGGAUAUGGCAAAGCCACUCCACUUGACAAUGCACUUUAAAAACCACACUGAUGUUAUAAAACCCAGAUAUUUUACUGCACAUGUUUAUUGGCUGAUUUGCACAAUACUUCCAUUAUAAUUAUUGGACGGAUACAAAAUGAAAAGAAUAUUUUUAACAAAACACUUGCAUGAUGCAGCCAUACCCAUUCUUAAUGAUCAUUAAUGUCUUAUCCAAAGAGAACUGUACUUUGUUUCAUUUACUGAAGGUCAGCAUACUAGAAGCAGUUGUCAUCACAUCUCAGACCUUUUUGCAUAUUUUUCCACGUUGUUCUGAGCCUGCAUGUGCUCAGACUGGUUGAUUGGUAUGCAGAUUGUCUGUCAUUAAAGCCAUUUGGAAAUCAGCUUUGUCACUGGUUUAGUGUUGGAACUUCAGAUCCUAGAAGACACCACUGGAAAGCUCUGUGCACUCAGAAAGGGAAGGUGUGUGACCCUGCUGAGCCCAACCUCAGGGCUGGAGGAAGAGGCUGAACUUAACCUUGAGCCUAAGCAAUGCCCCAGGACACUGAGACACCACACCUCCAAUAAAGAAAAACCAUGAAUGGCAGAAGGAAGAAACCAUUGUGUGGGGGCUAACAAGAAGAAAGAAGUGCUCAGAACCACCACUCACUGUCAGGGUCAUUCAGCAGGCUCAGCUCCUGUCAGCCAGGCAGUCGAGGCUACAGGUCAGGAGGCCACAGGUCCUGUGAAUAAUCCACAUUCCAGACAUCAGCAUUUCACCCACAUGACUCCACCUCUUAUCUGCAGAUGGGACCACCCUGAAAUCACUUUGCUUAUGAAGGAGGAGAAAGGGGGGUGGCCCGUCUCUCUGAGUCCUGCCCCUCCAAAAACACAGCCAUGAAGCCAGGUCUUCAUGAUGGAGCCAUAGCAUUGCAUACUGUUUUCCCAUUUCCCUAGAACAUGUUUCUAAGCUUCCAGGUGUUACCAGAAAGGGGUCCCAAUCCAGAGCCCACAAGAGAGUUCUUGGAUCUUGCACAAGAAAGAAUUUGAGGCAAAUCCACAGAGUAAAGUGAAAGCAAGUUUAUUAGGAAAGUGAAGGAAUAUAAGAAUGGCUGUUCCAUAGACUGGGCAGCCCAGUCCAAGAAAGGUUAUUUCUGGAUUAUAUGCUAAACAAGGGGUGGAUUAUUCAUGCCUCCCCUUUUUAGACUAUAUAUGGUAACUUCCUUAUCUUGGCAUGGCAUUUGUGAACUGUCAUGGUGCUGGUGGGAGUGUAGCAGUAAGGAUGACCAGAGGUCACACUCAUCGCCAUCUUUGUUUUGGUGGAUUUUGGCCAUCUUCUUUACUACAACCUGUUUUAUCAGCAAUGUGUUUAUGACGUGGAUCUUGUGCCAACCUCUUAUCUCAUCCUGAGACUUAGUAUUUUUAACCUACUGGGAAUGCACUCCAGCAGGUCUCAGCCUUAUUUUACCAAGCCCCUACUCAAGAUGGAGUGGCCCUGGUUCAAAUGGCUCUGACAGAGAUGCAUGCAUUGUGAGAGCCGUCACGAAGGAGGUCAAAGUGUUGAUUUCACAAAAGGAGAUGUGCCCUCUUACUUUCCUUACCUCAAAACAGCUGGGUGAGCCUAGACAUCCUUGGGACCAGGACAUUGUCUCGGCCUCCCAAGGGGUGAUUCCAGGGACCGGGAGGGCAGGCUCAGCUCAGAGCUCCUGGGCAAUCAUCCUCCAUCCUCACAGCCACCCCGGGGAUGAACAUUUCCCCCCAUUUUCCAGACAAGACGCCCAAAUCCCAAAGAACUUUCCCAGAGUUCAUCUCUCAUGGCCUGCAGGAGGGACUGGAAUUAAGGCAGGGCUCUGUCAGGCCUCUGAGCUGAAGCUAAGCCAUUGUAGUCCCUGUGACCUGCAUGUAUACAUCCCGAUGCCCUGCAGGAGCUAAGAGGUCUGGAGCAGCUGAGAAACCACAAAAGAAGUGAAACAGUCAGUUUCUGCCUUAACUGAUUAACCAACUUAUGACAUUCCACCAUGAUGACUUGUUACUGCCCUACCCUAACUGAUCGGUCGACCCUGUGACAUUCUUCUCCUGGACAAUGGAUCUCAUGAUCUCCCCACCAUGCACCUUGUGACCCCUCUCCUGCUGACAACAGAUACCCACAUUCAACUGUAACUUUUCACUGCCUACCCAAGUCCUAUA